Molecule: ribosomal RNA, 756 nt
Filed under: uncultured bacterium
Lineage: Bacteria
Description: bacterial SSU rRNA
Rfam family: Bacterial small subunit ribosomal RNA
Source: RNAcentral
UNCCACGUGUAGCAGUGAAAUGCGUAGAGAUGUGGAGGAAUNCCGAUGGCGAAGGCAGCCCCCUGGGAUAAUACUGACGUUCAUGCUNGAAAGCGUGGGUAGCAAACAGGAUUAGAUACCCUGGUAGUCCACGCCCUAAACGAUGUCAAUUAGCUGUUGGGGCACUUGAUGCCUUAGUAGCGAAGCUAACGCGUGAAAUUGACCGCCUGGGGAGUACGGUCGCAAGAUUAAAACUCAAAGGAAUUGACGGGGACCCGCACAAGCGGUGGAUGAUGUGGAUUAAUUCGAUGCAACGCGAAGAACCUUACCUGGUCUUGACAUGUACGGAAUCUUCCAGAGACGGAAGAGUGCCUUCGGGAGCCGUAACACAGGUGCUGCAUGGCUGUCGUCAGCUCGUGUCGUGAGAUGCUGGGUUAAGUCCCGCAACGAGCGCAACCCUUGUCAUUAGUUGCCACCAUUUAGUUGGGCACUCUAAUGAGACUGCCGGUGACAAACCGGAGGAAGGUGGGGAUGACGUCAAGUCCUCAUGGCCCUUAUGACCAGGGCUUCACACGUCAUACAAUGGUCGGUACAGAGGGUAGCCAAGCCGCGAGGUGGAGCCAAUCUCAGAAAACCGAUCGUAGUCCGGAUUGCACUCUGCAACUCGAGUGCAUGAAGUCGGAAUCGCUAGUAAUCGCAGGUCAGCAUACUGCGGUGAAUACGUUCCCGGGUCUUGUACACACCGCCCGUCACACCAUGGGAGUGGGGGAUACCAGA